GCCCCACUAGCCCAAUGGCUAGGGCGUCAGACUUCUAUUACUUGAAAUCUGGAGGUUGCGGGUUCGAGUCCCGCGUGGGGUU
This is a non-coding RNA of Tulasnella sp. UAMH 9824, 82 nucleotides long. The record is from the annotation of a GenBank genome assembly. Lineage: Eukaryota; Fungi; Basidiomycota; Agaricomycetes; Cantharellales; Tulasnellaceae.